Long non-coding RNA from Ictalurus furcatus (blue catfish), 4842 nucleotides. RefSeq lists it as uncharacterized. The transcript is spliced from 3 exons. NCBI's taxonomy places the organism in Eukaryota, Metazoa, Chordata, Actinopteri, Siluriformes, Ictaluridae. The record is from RefSeq and is a predicted model, not a curated record.
UGCCAACUACCAUAAAGCACCUCAAGAAACUCCAAGUUAUAAUCCGUGUAUUGGCCAGGAAUUGAAGCCGGGUCAACUGUUUGGAAGGCAGCUAUGCUCACCUCUAUACCACCAAUGCCACGCUAGGCAGUUCAACUCUGCUGAACAAAAGUUUAAGUAUGUGCUCUUCUCAUCAGCAGACCAUAGGCAACAGCUAAAGGGCACUCUUGUCGUGGUUUCUGUAGCGUAGUGGUUAUCACGUUUGCGUCACACGUGAAAGGUCCCUGGUUCGAGACCCGGCAGAAACACGCUAGAACUUUUGAACUUUGCUUUAAUAACUGACUGGUUGUCAUCACCGUAGGAUCAGGUCCUCUAGGAACAGCCGGAAAGCGAGACCUUGGACAGAGCAGAUUUCCUUCUUUUGUGCUUUUGUAGCAAAGCAGUUAACAUUUGCUUACAAAAUGAAAGGGAGUCUCUGGUUUUCCACAGAAAGGGGAAGCCUGGCUCUUUCAUUGCUCAAUAAGACUCUGUGCGUGACUGGAAAAUUUUCCGUAAAGUACUGGUCGCCAAGUUCACCUAUCGGCAAGAGGUCUACGCCCGAAAAAGGCUGGGAGCGGUUUCCCUUCCAUUGAGCUUUUGUAUCAAGGCAGAUAACAGCUGCUUGCAAAAUCACAGGCAGUCUCUGCUUUUCCACUGAACGUGGAAGCCUGGCUCUUUCCUUCAUCAAGAAGACAAGAGUAAUGAUGCGCUUGAUUCGAGGUUGCAACUUGUAAUUCCCCACCUCCAAGCGGGAAAAUGCAAAGCAAACGCACCCUCAACUUGAAAUUGCCAUUCGUCAACAGUGGGAAGUCUUCUGAUCUACCAGUUCCUUCCCUGUUCAUCGAGUGACGUCGAGUCGGCAUGACGGAUUCAGAACUCACAAAGUGGCACUUACCUCAGUGGUUAUUUGCUUUAGAUCAGGGUUGUCCAGUCUUAUCCAGAAUGGGCCAGUGUGGUUGCAGGUUUUCAUUCUAACCAAGCAGAAGCCACACUUUAGUCUAUUGAAAGCCAAGAUCAGCGGAUCCAACAAUUGGAAUCAGGUGUGGCUCCUGCUAGAUUGGAACGAAAAGCUGAAGAUUGGACAACGCUGCUUAAGACCAAUCAGCAUAUAGACAUAUUUGCUUAUUAAAUAUAAAACAUUGACUAUAUAGAUGGCUGAUUGCGGAAAAUGUACACUUCUCAUCACAGUUUGCAUGCUAGCUUGUCGCUAACAAAAGACAGACACGGAGAGACCGCAUUUUCUUACAUUUUCACCCCUGUUCACGGGUCAAACGUGCCCUGAUGGAUAAUGACGUGUUUACAAACAGCAAAGAAGCACUAAGAAUAGAAGUGGGACGCAGAAAGAGUUGUGGGAGGCCUGCCGAGAAGCCUAUGGCACAUUAGGUUGACCCAUUUAUUUUCAGGUAGGUGAUUCCUUCCUUUUGUGCCAACUACCAUAAAGCACCUCCAGAAGCUCCAAGUUACAAUCCAUGCAUUGGCUGGGAAUCAAACCCCGGCCAACUGCUUGGAAGGCAGCUAUGCUCACCUCUAUACCACCAAUGCCACGCUGGGCAAUUCAACGCUGCUGAACAAAAGUUUAAGUAUGUGCUCUUCUCAUCAGCAGACCAUAGGCAACAGCUAAAGGGAGGUCCUGCAGUGGUUUCUGUAGUGUAGUGGUUAUCACGUUUGCCUAACACGCAAAAGGUCCCUGGUUCGAGACCGGGCAGAAACAAGCUAGAAAUUUUGAACUUUGCGUUAAUAACUGACCGGUUGUCAUCACGGUAGGAUCAGGUCCUCUAGGAACAGCCGGAAAGCGAGACCUUGGACAGAGCAGAUUUCCUUCUUUUCUGCUUUUGUAGCAAAGCAGGUAACAUUUGCUUACAAAAUGAAAGGGAGUCUCUGGUUUUCCACAGAAAGUGGAAGCCUGGCUCUUUCGUUGCUCAAUAAGACUCUGUGCGUGACUGGAAAAUUUUCCGUAAAGUACUGGUCACCAAGUUCACCUAUCGGCAAGAGGUCUACGCCCGAAAAAGGCUGGGAGCGGUUUCCCUUCCAUUGAGCUUUUGGAGCAAGGCAGAUAACAGCUGCUUGCAAAAUCACAAGCAGUCUCUGCUUUUCCACUGAAUGUGGGAGCCUGGCUCUUUCCUUCAUCAAGAAGACAAGAGUAAUGAUGCGCUUGAUUCGAGGGGUAGGGGUAGACAUGGCCAGGGAAUAAGAGAAACAAUACAGAGCAGCAAGUAGUUACACAGACUCCUGAAUGUUCUCAAUAACCAUACAUUUCAUGUAAACACCAACCAGAAACACUGAAAAUAUAUGUACACACUGUAUUUCACAAUAAUUAACAAUGGUCAAGUCCAUCAAUAACGCAAAUGUCCAAGUCUGUUAAGUUCAGUACCCCAACUAAACUUUCUAAAUCUUACGGUUCGGUCCCCAUUUGGGCGCCACUCUGUAGCGUGGUACCUUAUGGGGUUUGGACGCCAGACAGUUCAAAUUAACAGUCACUUAUAACUUAUAAUUUGGACAUCACUCAGAAUAAGGCUACUCAAUUCUUACAAAAUAAGUUUAUUAUUAUUUAUGCAAUAAACAUAAGAAAAUACAGAUUGUUUCAGUCAUAGAAACUGAAAUAAUGAAAACCAAAAAGUUCCCCUACGUGGGAUUAAUAAACGCACCCAUAAGGAAACAAGGCUCUAUUCAUAAAAGAAAAUUUUCACACACAAAAGGCAGAAAAAAAACAUGUAACUCCAAAAUAAUUCUUAACCAAAACAAAAAAGUUGUUCACUUUAAAAGCUGCACUUCAAUGGUGGUGAUUUAGGCGUACGGGAGUUCGUGAACCCGAAAGCAUGGGAAACCGGCAGUCAGAUUCCGCUUAACACUCGGAGUUCUUUACAGACAGUAACAUCCAACGAUUUAAACAUACUGGUUCUCCACAAAAGUAUUAAAGAAAGGAUCUCAAAACCGUGAUGUGCCUCCGAACCCUCAAAACUCCGCUCGCUCGUUUAUUCACCUUGGUAGAAUAUUCCCGAAGUGUUCGCCAGCCUCCUGAAUCAAUAUCCACAAGGUUAUAAUCCACAGUAAGAGCAUUAGCAUGGUCCUUGGCAAACGCACACCAUCAGUUCCGCCAUUCCCACCUGGCUCUCAUUUCCGCGUCCCGCUUUCUCUCACCUAGUCACCUGUUCUUUUCAUGGCUUCCUAAGACCCCACCCUUCUCUUCAUCUCUUUUUUUACUUCUGUUAAUUAAAACACCACGGAAUGGAACGGACUCCGCUUCUGCAUCACUAAAUGGUAAAAUGGUAAAUGGCGCACUUAUAUAGCGCUUUUAUCCAAAGCGCUUUACACUGUGUCUCAUUUACCCAUUCACACACCAACAGUAGCAGAGCUGCCAUGCAAGGCGCUAACUUGCCAUCGGGAGCAACUUGGGGUUCAGUGUCUUGCCCAAGGACACUUUGGCAUGUGGCGUUAUGCUGGCUGGGAAUCAAACCGCCAACCCUACGAUUGGUGGAUAACCCGCUCUACCACCUGAUCCACAGCCACCCCUGUCACUGUGCAGCUAUCUGUUACAAAUGAAUGGGAAAAUAUCCUUGGCAUCCCUGCAAUUCAAGGAUGUUGUAAUUGGUAAGUUGUGAUGUCAAAAGUAUCUGUACCAAGUUGAUACUAAAAUUUUAAAAAGAAUGAUACGAUAAGUUUUUUUUUCAGUACCGGCAGUACCAAGUAUUCUCCUGCUUUCUGAUUGACUUUCUUUUGUAGGUAUUAAUUAACCGUGAUUUCCACUCAGCCAUCUUACUGGAAUUUGUGUAGGUUAGGAAUAAGACUGAGGAUGGAGUUGUACAGUUUUGUAGUGUGUAUCAUUUGUAAAUAUUGUUAACUUCUUUACCAUAGCCAUGCUGAGGGAGGUGUUGACUAAAUUAGAGAUGGUGCUGGACCAACAAACCACUGAGCUUGCUUCAACUACAGGUGUUCCAGGUGCAGUCUUUGGAUACUGAUGAAGAUUUACUGCCCUGCAAGAUCUUCCUCAACUGCAUAGUCUGGAGCAAAGGAUGCAACAGAGCCCAGAUUGCAAGCAAAAACUGGUGAGAAUUUUUUUCUUUUUUUGUUAACAAUUGCUUGCACAAUUACACAGCUACUGAGAGUGUUUGUUUUCUCAAGGUGACACACUCGUACUCAAAGCACAACAUUCAACACCACUUUGAUAUGAGGGAACAGUUAUGACCUAAUCUUUGGUAGAGGAGCAAAACAUGGAAAGCACACAGGGCAGGGUAACUGCAGGAGUAGUGAGAAGCACUGACACAGUUGACAAGGCAAUACAUGCUUAUUAAUUAUUUAUAUUUUAUAUUAUUUUAUAUUAUAUUAUUGUUUUAAAAAUCAUCGGUUUCGGGUAAACUGGUUGGCGCUUAUUGACAGGGCAGAUGUGCUUGACUGCACCUGGCGCAUAUUGAAGAGGGUGAUUGCUAACUCCCUGGCAAAGAACCUCAAUUGGAGGGGAGUCAAUGGAAAGACUUCACUGGCCACUCUCCAACUUGGAGAGGUCAUGAUUGAAACCUCUUCACGGCUAAAGCUGCAGAGAUGGAGGUUGAGGGGACCAUGAAGAGGUGGCUCCAGCUGGCAUCAGAUCAAGAGUGCGGGCGCAAGAGAAGACUUUUGAAAACUUUUGCAAAAAGAAGCCCUUUCCAGUAGCGGUUAUAUGAUGUUCCGAUCCAUCUUUUCACACUGAGGACAACCGAGGGACUCGUACAUGACGAUUCCAAAAGGUGCAAACAUUCACUGAUGCUCAAGAAGGUUACAGCAUGCAUUAAGAGCCUGGCUGUAAACGUUGUAAACAGGAUGAUCAUGUAAAUUUUUUUGUCUUCUGGG